This 219-nucleotide ribosomal RNA is filed under the name Providencia sp. RNAcentral's name for it is "partial 16S ribosomal RNA". It matches the Rfam family "Bacterial small subunit ribosomal RNA", at positions 1 to 216 of the family's 1533-position model. Lineage: Bacteria; Pseudomonadati; Pseudomonadota; Gammaproteobacteria; Enterobacterales; Morganellaceae. The record is from RNAcentral.
UAAUUGAAGAGUUUGAUCAUGGCUCAGAUUGAACGCUGGCGGCAGGCCUAACACAUGCAAGUCGAGCGGUAACAGGGGAAAGCUUGCUUUCCCGCUGACGAGCGGCGGACGGGUGAGUAAUGUAUGGGGAUCUGCCCGAUAGAGGGGGAUAACUACUGGAAACGGUGGCUAAUACCGCAUAAUCUCUAAGGAGCAAAGCAGGGGAACUUCGGUCCUUGC